This 437-nucleotide ribosomal RNA is filed under the name uncultured bacterium. Its description in RNAcentral is "partial 16S ribosomal RNA". It matches the Rfam family "Bacterial small subunit ribosomal RNA", at positions 29 to 507 of the family's 1533-position model. The record is from RNAcentral.
AGCGAACGCUGGCGGCAGGCUUAACACAUGCAAGUCGAGCGGGCAUCCUUGUGGUGUCAGCGGCAGACGGGUGAGUAACGCGUGGGAACGUGCCCUUCGGUUCGGAAUAACUCAGGGAAACUUGAGCUAAUACCGGAUACGUGCGAGAGCAGAAAGGUUUAUCUGCCGAAGGAUCGGCCCGCGUCUGAUUAGCUAGGUGGUGAGGUUACGGCUCACCAAGGCGACGAUCAGUAGCUGGUCUGAGAGGAUGAGCAGCCACACUGGGACUGAGACACGGCCCAGACUCCUACGGGAGGCAGCAGUGGGGAAUAUUGGACGAUGGGGGCAACCCUGAUCCAGCCAUGCCGCGUGAGUGAUGACGGCCUUAGGGUUGUAAAGCUCUUUUCUCCGGGACGAUAAUGACGGUACCGGAGGAAUAAGCCCCGGCUAACUUCGUG